UUCUUAAAAGUGGCGCACGGGUGAGUAAGACGUAGGUGACCUGCCCUGGAGUGGGGGAUAACAGUUGGAAACGGCUGCUAAUACCGCAUGAUACCGAGACACUGGGAAGUGACUUGGUGAAAACUCUGGUGCUUCAGGAGGGGCCUGCGGCCGAUUAGCUAGUUGGCGGGGUAAGAGCCCACCAAGGCGACGAUCGGUAGCUGGUCUGAGAGGACGAUCAGCCACACGGGAACUGAGACACGGUCCCGACUCCUACGGGGGGCAGCAGUGAGGAAUAUUGGGCAAUGGGCGCAAGCCUGACCCAGCAACGCCGCGUGGAGAAAGACGGCCUUCGGGUUGUAAACUCCUUUUACGGGGAAGAGGAAGGACGGUACCCCGAGAAUAAGUCACGGCUAACUACGUGCCAGCAGCCGCGGUAAUACGUAGGUGACAAGCGUUAUCCGGAAUUACUGGGCGUAAAGCGCACGCAGGCGGCGCAUUAAGUCUGACGUGAAAUCUCCCGGCUUAACUGGGAGGGGUCGUUGGAGACUGAUGUGCUUGAGGCGAUGAGAGGGGUGUAGAAUUCCCGGUGUAGUGGUGGAAUGCGUAGAUAUCGGGAGGAAUACCAGUGGCGAAAGCGACACCCUGGCAUUAGCCUGACGCUCAUGUGCGAAGGCGUGGGGAGCGAACGGGAUUAGAUACCCCGGUAGUCCACGCGGUAAACGAUGAAUACUAGGUGUGGGUGGAGUGAAAUCCAU
Molecule: ribosomal RNA, 737 nt
Filed under: uncultured Caldilinea sp.
Lineage: Bacteria; Bacillati; Chloroflexota; Caldilineae; Caldilineales; Caldilineaceae
Description: bacterial SSU rRNA
Rfam family: Bacterial small subunit ribosomal RNA
Source: RNAcentral